UACCGAGUUUUCAACUCCCAAACCCUUAUGUGAACCUACCUAUCGUUGCUUCGCGCGUGACUCGCCCCAGCCGGACGCGGACUGGACCAGCGGCCGCCGGGGACCAUCAAACUCUUGUAUUAUCAGCAUCUUCUGAAUACGCCGCAAGGCAAAACAAAUAAAUUAAAACUUUCAACAACGGAUCUCUUGGCUCUGGCAUCGAUGAAGAACGCAGCGAAAUGCGAUAAGUAAUGUGAAUUGCAGAAUCCAGUGAAUCAUCGAAUCUUUGAACGCACAUUGCGCCCGCCAGCAUUCUGGCGGGCAUGCCUGUUCGAGCGUCAUUUCAACCCUCGACCUCCCUUUGGGGAAGUCGGCGUUGGGGACCGGCAGCACACCGCCGGCCCUGAAAUGGAGUGGCGGCCCGUCCGCGGCGACCUCUGCGUAGUAAACCAACUCGCACCGGAACCCCGACGUGGCCACGCCGUAAAACACCCAACUUCUGAACGUUGACCUCGAAUCAGGUAGGACUACCCGCUGAACUUAAGCAUAUCAA
RNAcentral lists this ribosomal RNA (532 nucleotides) under Beauveria bassiana. RNAcentral's name for it is "eukaryotic LSU rRNA". The stretch from base 167 to 320 matches the Rfam family "5.8S ribosomal RNA". Lineage: Eukaryota; Fungi; Ascomycota; Sordariomycetes; Hypocreales; Cordycipitaceae. The record is from RNAcentral.